Molecule: ribosomal RNA, 407 nt
Filed under: uncultured bacterium
Lineage: Bacteria
Description: partial 16S ribosomal RNA
Rfam family: Bacterial small subunit ribosomal RNA
Source: RNAcentral
AAUAUUGCGCAAUGGAGGGAACUCUGACGCAGCGACGCCGCGUGAGUGAUGAAGGUCUUCGGAUCGUAAAGCUCUGUCCUUGGGGAAGAAGAUCUUCGGAUUUGACGGUACCCAAGGAGGAAGCCCCGGCUAACUACGUUCCAGCAGCCGCGGUAAUACGUAGGGGGCAAGCGUUGUCCGGAAUUAUUGGGCGUAAAGGGUGCGUAGGCGGCCUUUUAAGUCAGAUGUGAAAGACCACGGCUUAACCGUGGGGUUGCAUUUGGAACUGGAGGGCUUGAGUAUCGGAGAGGGUAGUGGAAUUCCCAGUGUAGCGGUGGAAUGCGUAGAUAUUGGGAGGAACACCAGUGGCGAAGGCGACUCUCUGGUCUGUAACUGACGCUGUGGCGCGAAAGCGUGGGGAUCAAACA